RNAcentral lists this small RNA (125 nucleotides) under Marmota monax (woodchuck). Lineage: Eukaryota; Metazoa; Chordata; Mammalia; Rodentia; Sciuridae. The record is from RNAcentral.
GCUGGGUGCAGUGGUGCAUGCCUGUAAUCCCAGUGGCUCAGAAAGCUGAGACAGGAGAAUCAUGAGUUCAAAGCCAGCCUCAGCAAUAGUGAAGUGCUAAGCAACUCGGUGAGACCCUGUCUCUA